This 752-nucleotide ribosomal RNA is filed under the name uncultured bacterium. RNAcentral describes it as "bacterial SSU rRNA". It matches the Rfam family "Bacterial small subunit ribosomal RNA", at positions 8 to 796 of the family's 1533-position model. The record is from RNAcentral.
AGAGUUUGAUCCUGGCUCAGGACGAACGCUGGCGGGUUAACACAUGCAAGUCGAACGAGGUGCUUGCACUAGUGGCGAACGGGUGAGUAACACGUGAGCAACCUGCCCUUGGCUCUGGGAUAGCCUCCGGAAACGGGGAUUAAUACCGGACAUGACCUGCUGCCGCAUGGCGGCGGGUGGAAAGUUUUUCGGCCAGGGAGGGGCUCGCGGCCUAUCAGCUUGUUGGGGGGGUAACGGCCCACCAAGGCGACGACGGGUAGCCGGCCUGAGAGGGCGACCGGCCACACUGGGACUGAGACACGGCCCAGACUCCUACGGGAGGCAGCAGUGGGGAAUAUUGCACAAUGGGGGAAACCCUGAUGCAGCGACGCCGCGUGCGGGAUGAAGGCCUUCGGGUUGUAAACCGCUUUCAGCAGGGGCGAAUUCAGACGGUACCUGCAGAAGAAGCGCCGGCUAACUACGUGCCAGCAGCCGCGGUAAUACGUAGGGCGCAAGCGUUGUCCGGAAUUAUUGGGCGUAAAGAGCUCGUAGGCGGCCUGUUGCGUCCGCUGUGAAAUCCCAGGGCUUAACCCUGGGUCUGCAGUGGAUACGGGCAGGCUAGAGGCAGGCAGGGGAGAACGGAAUUCCCGGUGUAGCGGUGAAAUGCGCAGAUAUCGGGAGGAACACCGGUGGCGAAGGCGGUUCUCUGGGCCUGUUCUGACGCUGAGGACGAAAGCGUGGGGAGCAAACAGGAUUAGAUACCCNNGUAGUCC